This 218-nucleotide long non-coding RNA is filed under the name Elaeis guineensis (African oil palm). Its description in RNAcentral is "long non-coding RNA (EGUI_LNC042830)". Lineage: Eukaryota; Viridiplantae; Streptophyta; Magnoliopsida; Arecales; Arecaceae. The record is from RNAcentral.
CUUGAAUACCAGAUAGAGUUACUUAUCUUUAGCUCAUAAGACAGAAUUAUCUCUAAGGCACUAUGCAUCACCUAGGUAAAUAUAAUUAAUGAUUAAUUUUACAUCUAAGGAAAGCACUUAUUAUUAUUCAAAACUCAAGCAUUUGAAGGGUUUCAAAGUUUGUGGGGCCCACUCAAAGUUUCAUUAUUCAAAAAAAUCUACAUGAAGGAUAGAACACC